This is a long non-coding RNA of Cyprinus carpio carpio, 1513 nucleotides long. Lineage: Eukaryota; Metazoa; Chordata; Actinopteri; Cypriniformes; Cyprinidae. The record is from Ensembl.
AGAACAUUUGACGCUCUAAAAAAAAAAAAAUAAUAAUAAAUUGCAUUGCAUGUGUUAAAUGUGUUGCACCUGUGCAAACCUGAUUUAUAAGGUUUAGAAAGACACCUCUUUUUAGCUUUCAAAAAAAUUAUGUAACAAUAAUUUGUUCUGUUGUCAGCCUAGAUGUAGAAGUUAUCAGUUGAUUAAUUUUGUUUAAAACCAUUUUAAGAAAAAUUAAGAUUGUGUCUGAUAAAAUAAAGAAUAUCAAAACAGCUUAUCAGAAUUGUCAUUUUUUGCAUUAAUCUAAAAAAAAGUGUUGUCCUUGUUCAAAAAUGUAACUAGCUCGUAAUCAUAAUAUGUAUCAAGUAGUUGUUGUUGGUCAUUUAUAGCACGAACAAAAUAUAGUUUUAUUUUUUCAGGGAGUUUUCAGUGAGACCAGUUCCAGCUUUCACAAUAAAAUGAUUUUGUUUUUCUCUUCCUGUUAACACAAAGAAUACCGUCUUUUUCAAACUCAUUUUACUUUUAAUAUUUGCAUAUCUGAUGUUUUAUGUGAGGUGUAGCAUAUAAAAUCAUGCACAUAUUAUGUCCCUGUGGCAGCUGUGAAGUCAGUCUACAAAACACAGCACACGGAUUUAUACACAUCCAGAGAGUCUGGACAUUUACUCUUCAGGUGACAAAUCUUUAUUAUUUGUUUCAUUUAUUUAUUAUUAUUUUAUUUUAUUCCAUAUUGUGUUUUUUAACUCCAUAAUAUUCAACAUUUUUGCUUCAGGGUUUUGCAUGUAAGAUGGUUUAACUACAAAGCAAAACAGAUUUGAUUUAUUUUGGUAGAGUUUUAGAUUAGUCGAGAAAACAUCCAUUUAAAGAUAAUAUAAUAAAUGAAUGAGAUCUUCUAUAUGAACUAUAAAAGUAAAAUUUGACAAAUGAAUGUCAAACUACUUUAUUUGAAUUUGACAGGAUCCUUUCAUGAGCCUAAAUAUAUGUUGUUUUUCUCAGCUGAAAAGACAAAAACAGGGAAGAUGAAUAGCUCUACACUGAACUUCAGCAUGCAUGAAGAAUCUACAAACUCCACAAAUGUUUCUUUUGGGCUGUCCAGUUGGGGCAUGUUGGAGAGUUCUCUGUUUUGCUUCAAUUUGCUGUUUGGUUUUCCAACGCACUCCUAUAUUGUAUGGCUAAUCAUAACUGGAACAGGAAGUGGAGUUGCAUCAGAGUUCUUCAUCCUUAAUCUCUCUGUUUGUGAGACUGCUUACAGUCUGAGUGCUAUUUUCCAUUUACUGUCAUUUUUCUUUUCAAAACUCAUGAUAAGACAACAUUUUUUUCAAGGAUUCGCCAUCACUGGUCGUCCUCUGUUUCAGUGUCUGAUGUGUGUUGAGUGUUACCUGGCAGUGGUUCAUCCUGCAACCUUUCUGAAGUACAAACCUCUCAGAUACAGAGUGAUCUGCUGCACUGUGGCCUGGAUAUUUAUUUUUGGCUCUUGUUUGUUCUGCAUGUGUAACCCUGUAUAAUUUAAAUUUAUUAUAAAAAAGGAAUAAAUUAG